Molecule: ribosomal RNA, 467 nt
Filed under: uncultured bacterium
Lineage: Bacteria
Description: partial 16S ribosomal RNA
Rfam family: Bacterial small subunit ribosomal RNA
Source: RNAcentral
ACGAACGCUGGCGGCGUGCUUAACACAUGCAAGUCGAACGAUGAUGCCAGCUUGCUGGUGGAUUAGUGGCGAACGGGUGAGUAACACGUGAGCAACCUGCCCCUGACUUCGGGAUAACCGCGGGAAACCGUGGCUAAUACCGGAUAUGACGCGCUAUCGCAUGGUGGUGUGUGGAAAGAUUUAUCGGUUGGGGAUGGGCUCGCGGCCUAUCAGCUUGUUGGUGGGGUGAUGGCCUACCAAGGCGACGACGGGUAGCCGGCCUGAGAGGGUGACCGGCCACACUGGGACUGAGACACGGCCCAGACUCCUACGGGAGGCAGCAGUGGGGAAGAUUGCACAAUGGGCGCAAGCCUGAUGCAGCGACGCCGCGCGAGGGAUGACGGCCUUCGGGUUGUAAACCUCUUUCAGUAGGGAAGAAGGCCUUCGGGUUGACGGUACCUGCAGAAGAAGCGCCGGCUAACUACGUG